GCUCAGGACGAACGCUGGCGGCGUGCUUAACACAUGCAAGUCGAACGAUGAUGCCCAGCUUGCUGGGUGGAUUAGUGGCGAACGGGUGAGUAACACGUGAGUAACCUGCCCCUGACUCUGGGAUAAGCGUUGGAAACGACGUCUAAUACUGGAUAUGAUCACUGGCCGCAUGGUCUGGUGGUGGAAAGAUUUUUUGGUUGGGGAUGGACUCGCGGCCUAUCAGCUUGUUGGUGAGGUAAUGGCUCACCAAGGCGACGACGGGUAGCCGGCCUGAGAGGGUGACCGGCCACACUGGGACUGAGACACGGCCCAGACUCCUACGGGAGGCAGCAGUGGGGAAUAUUGCACAAUGGGCGAAAGCCUGAUGCAGCAACGCCGCGUGAGGGAUGACGGCCUUCGGGUUGUAAACCUCUUUUAGUAGGGAAGAAGCGAAAGUGACGGUACCUGCAGAAAAAGCACCGGCUAACUACGUGCCAGCAGCCGCGGUAAUACGUAGGGUGCAAGCGUUGUCCGGAAUUAUUGGGCGUAAAGAGCUCGUAGGCGGUUUGUCGCGUCUGCUGUGAAAUCCCGAGGCUCAACCUCGGGCUUGCAGUGGGUACGGGCAGACUAGAGUGCGGUAGGGGAGAUUGGAAUUCCUGGUGUAGCGGUGGAAUGCGCAGAUAUCAGGAGGAACACCGAUGGCGAAGGCAGAUCUCUGGGCCGUAACUGACGCUGAGGAGCGAAAGCAUGGGGAGCGAACAGGAUUAGAUACCCUGGUAGUCCAUGCCGUAAACGUUGGGCGCUAGAUGUAGGGACCUUUCCACGGUUUCUGUGUCGUAGCUAACGCAUUAAGCGCCCCGCCUGGGGAGUACGGCCGCAAGGCUAAAACUCAAAGGAAUUGACGGGGGCCCGCACAAGCGGCGGAGCAUGCGGAUUAAUUCGAUGCAACGCGAAGAACCUUACCAAGGCUUGACAUACACCGGAAACGGCCAGAGAUGGUCGCCCCCUUGUGGUCGGUGUACAGGUGGUGCAUGGUUGUCGUCAGCUCGUGUCGUGAGAUGUUGGGUUAAGUCCCGCAACGAGCGCAACCCUCGUUCUAUGUUGCCAGCGGGUUAUGCCGGGGACUCAUAGGAGACUGCCGGGGUCAACUCGGAGGAAGGUGGGGAUGACGUCAAAUCAUCAUGCCCCUUAUGUCUUGGGCUUCACGCAUGCUACAAUGGCCGGUACAAAGGGCUGCGAUACCGUAAGGUGGAGCGAAUCCCAAAAAGCCGGUCUCAGUUCGGAUUGAGGUCUGCAACUCGACCUCAUGAAGUCGGAGUCGCUAGUAAUCGCAGAUCAGCAACGCUGCGGUGAAUACGUUCCCGGGCCUUGUACACACCGCCCGUCAAGUCAUGAAAGUCGGUAACACCCGAAGCCGGUGGCCUAACCCUUGUGGAAGGAGCCGUCGAAGGUGGGAUCGGUGAUUAGGA
Molecule: ribosomal RNA, 1448 nt
Filed under: Curtobacterium flaccumfaciens
Lineage: Bacteria; Bacillati; Actinomycetota; Actinomycetes; Micrococcales; Microbacteriaceae
Description: bacterial SSU rRNA
Rfam family: Bacterial small subunit ribosomal RNA
Source: RNAcentral